RNAcentral lists this transfer RNA (72 nucleotides) under Poterioochromonas malhamensis. Its description in RNAcentral is "tRNA-Asn". It matches the Rfam family "tRNA". From Rfam's summary of the family: Transfer RNA (tRNA) molecules are approximately 80 nucleotides in length. Their secondary structure includes four short double-helical elements and three loops (D, anti-codon, and T loops). Further hydrogen bonds mediate the characteristic L-shaped molecular structure. tRNAs have two regions of fundamental functional importance: the anti-codon, which is responsible for specific mRNA codon recognition, and the 3' end, to which the tRNAs corresponding amino acid is attached (by aminoacyl-tRNA synthetases). tRNAs cope with the degeneracy of the genetic code in two manners: having more than one tRNA (with a specific anti-codon) for a particular amino acid; and 'wobble' base-pairing, i.e. permitting non-standard base-pairing at the 3rd anti-codon position. The record is from RNAcentral. RNAcentral also lists the same sequence under 1 other name. Lineage: Eukaryota; Synurophyceae; Ochromonadales; Ochromonadaceae.
UCCCUAAUAGCUCAGUGGUAGAGCAAUCGGCUGUUAACCGAUUGGUCGUUGGUUCGAAACCAGCUUAGGGAG